AGGGACAGCCUGGCGGGCAGCUAACACAUGCAAGUCGAACGGUAACAGGAUGUGCUUGCACAUCGCUGACGAGUGGCGGACGGGUGAGUAAUGCUUGGGAACUUGCCUUUGCGAGGGGGAUAACAGUUGGAAACGACUGCUAAUACCGCAUAAUGUUUUCGAACCAAACGGGGCUUCGGCUCCGGCGCAAAGAGAGGCCCAAGUGAGAUUAGCUAGUUGGUAAGGUAACGGCUUACCAAGGCGACGAUCUCUAGCUGUUCUGAGAGGAAGAUCAGCCACACUGGGACUGAGACACGGCCCAGACUCCUACGGGAGGCAGCAGUGGGGAAUAUUGCACAAUGGGGGAAACCCUGAUGCAGCCAUGCCGCGUGUGUGAAGAAGGCCUUCGGGUCGUAAAGCACUUUCAGUUGUGAGGAAAAGUUAGUAGUUAAUACCUGCUAGCCGUGACGUUAACAACAGAAGAAGCACCGGCUAACUCCGUGCCAGCAGCCGCGGUAAUACGGAGGGUGCGAGCGUUAAUCGGAAUUACUGGGCGUAAAGCGCACGCAGGCGGUUUGUUAAGCUAGAUGUGAAAGCCCCGGGCUCAACCUGGGAUGGUCAUUUAGAACUGGCAGACUAGAGUCUUGGAGAGGGGAGUGGAAUUCCAGGUGUAGCGGUGAAAUGCGUAGAUAUCUGGAGGAACAUCAGUGGCGAAGGCGACUCCCUGGCCAAAGACUGACGCUCAUGUGCGAAAGUGUGGGUAGCGAACAGGAUUAGAUACCCUGGUAGUCCACACCGUAAACGCUGUCUACUAGCUGUGUGUGCCUUUAAGGCGUGCGUAGCGAAGCUAACGCGCUAAGUAGACCGCCUGGGGGAGUACGGCCGCAAGGUUAAAACUCAAA
RNAcentral lists this ribosomal RNA (881 nucleotides) under uncultured bacterium. RNAcentral describes it as "bacterial SSU rRNA". It matches the Rfam family "Bacterial small subunit ribosomal RNA", at positions 26 to 905 of the family's 1533-position model. The record is from RNAcentral.